Molecule: unclassified non-coding RNA, 28 nt
Filed under: Mus musculus (house mouse)
Lineage: Eukaryota; Metazoa; Chordata; Mammalia; Rodentia; Muridae
Description: oocyte_clustered_small_RNA5781
Source: RNAcentral
UGUUCAAUAUCAUGGAAAACAGACACAA